UCCGCCGGCAUGCUCCCUUGACGUCCUCUC
Molecule: non-coding RNA, 30 nt
Filed under: Homo sapiens (human)
Lineage: Eukaryota; Metazoa; Chordata; Mammalia; Primates; Hominidae
Source: RNAcentral